CCUACGGGAGGCAGCAGUGAGGAAUAUUGGUCAAUGGGAGAGAUCCUGAACCAGCCAAGCCGCGUGAGGGAAGACGGCCCUAUGGGUUGUAAACCUCUUUUGUCGGAGAACAAAACCCGGGACGUGUCCCGGACUGCGUGUAUCCGAAGAAAAAGCAUCGGCUAACGCCGUGCCAGCAGCCGCGGUCAUACGGAGGAUGCGAGCGUUAUCCGGAUUUAUUGGGUGUAAAGGGUGCGUAGGCGGUCCGUUAAGUCAGCGGUAAAAUUGCGGGGCUAAACCCUGUCGAGCCGUUGAACCUGGCAGACUUGAGUUGGCGAGAAGUACGCGGAAUGCGCGGUGUAGCGGUGAAAUGCAUAGAGAUCGCGCAGAACUCCGAUUGCGAAGGCAGCGUACCGGCGCCAGACUGACGCUGAGGCACGAAAGCGUGGGGAGCGAACAGGAUUAGAUACCCCUGUAGUC
This 459-nucleotide ribosomal RNA is filed under the name uncultured bacterium. RNAcentral describes it as "partial 16S ribosomal RNA". It matches the Rfam family "Bacterial small subunit ribosomal RNA", at positions 338 to 795 of the family's 1533-position model. The record is from RNAcentral.